RNAcentral lists this non-coding RNA (422 nucleotides) under uncultured fungus. RNAcentral also lists the same sequence under 1 other name. Lineage: Eukaryota; Fungi. The record is from RNAcentral.
AGAGUUAAACAGUGCGUGAAAUUGUUAAAAGGGAAACGAAUGAGACCAGUAAUCUUGACAGUUAAUCAGCCGGUUGGCCGUUGUCUAGUGCUAUUUGAAGAGCGCAAGCCUUCAAGAAGUGGUAUGGCAGCUGUUUACCGGUGCACUUUGCUGCCGAGGAGUCAACAACAGUUUGAUCGGAUGGAUAAACUCGGGCGGAAGGUAGCUUCAAUAUUUUUGUUGAAGUGUUUAGCCGCUCGAUGGUACACAUCGGAUUGGACUGAGGAUCGCAGAGUGCCGAAUAUUUAUAUUUGGCAGGGCGACUCGGUGCUGUAAAGUACGGAGCGUUAGGCCAGCUUGCUGACUGAUGCUGUGUUAUUUUGCACUCGCCGGGCUCCGCUACAAACACUCUUAGGUUGUUGACGAAAUGGUCUUAUCCGACC